UAGAACGCUGAAGAGAGGAGCUUGCUCUUCUUGGAUGAGUUGCGAACGGGUGAGUAACGCGUAGGUAACCUGCCUUGUAGCGGGGGAUAACUAUUGGAAACGAUAGCUAAUACCGCAUAACAAUGGAUGACACAUGUCAUUUAUUUGAAAGGGGCAAUUGCUCCACUACAAGAUGGACCUGCGUUGUAUUAGCUAGUAGGUGAGGUAAUGGCUCACCUAGGCGACGAUACAUAGCCGACCUGAGAGGGUGAUCGGCCACACUGGGACUGAGACACGGCCCAGACUCCUACGGGAGGCAGCAGUAGGGAAUCUUCGGCAAUGGGGGCAACCCUGACCGAGCAACGCCGCGUGAGUGAAGAAGGUUUUCGGAUCGUAAAGCUCUGUUGUAAGUCAAGAACGGGUGUGAGAGUGGAAAGUUCACACUGUGACGGUAGCUUACCAGAAAGGGACGGCUAACUACGUGCCAGCAGCCGCGGUAAUACGUAGGUCCCGAGCGUUGUCCGGAUUUAUUGGGCGUAAAGCGAGCGCAGGCGGUUUGAUAAGUCUGAAGUUAAAGGCUGUGGCUCAACCAUAGUUCGCUUUGGAAACUGUCAAACUUGAGUGCAGAAGGGGAGAGUGGAAUUCCAUGUGUAGCGGUGAAAUGCGUAGAUAUAUGGAGGAACACCGGUGGCGAAAGCGGCUCUCUGGUCUGUAACUGACGCUGAGGCUCGAAAGCGUGGGGAGCGAACAGGAUUAGAUACCCUGGUAGUCCACGCCGUAAACGAUGAGUGCUAGGUGUUGGAUCCUUUCCGGGAUUCAGUGCCGCAGCUAACGCAUUAAGCACUCCGCCUGGGGAGUACGACCGCAAGGUUGAAACUCAAAGGAAUUGACGGGGGCCCGCACAAGCGGUGGAGCAUGUGGUUUAAUUCGAAGCAACGCGAAGAACCUUACCAGGUCUUGACAUCCCGAUGCUAUUUCUAGAGAUAGAAAGUUACUUCGGUACAUCGGUGACAGGUGGUGCAUGGUUGUCGUCAGCUCGUGUCGUGAGAUGUUGGGUUAAGUCCCGCAACGAGCGCAACCCCUAUUGUUAGUUGCCAUCAUUCAGUUGGGCACUCUAGCGAGACUGCCGGUAAUAAACCGGAGGAAGGUGGGGAUGACGUCAAAUCAUCAUGCCCCUUAUGACCUGGGCUACACACGUGCUACAAUGGUUGGUACAACGAGUUGCGAGUCGGUGACGGCGAGCUAAUCUCUUAAAGCCAAUCUCAGUUCGGAUUGUAGGCUGCAACUCGCCUACAUGAAGUCGGAAUCGCUAGUAAUCGCGGAUCAGCACGCCGCGGUGAAUACGUUCCCGGGCCUUGUACACACCGCCCGUCACACCACGAGAGUUUGUAACACCCGAAGUCGGUGAGGUAAC
RNAcentral lists this ribosomal RNA (1393 nucleotides) under Streptococcus thermophilus. Its description in RNAcentral is "bacterial SSU rRNA". It matches the Rfam family "Bacterial small subunit ribosomal RNA", at positions 62 to 1439 of the family's 1533-position model. The record is from RNAcentral. Lineage: Bacteria; Bacillati; Bacillota; Bacilli; Lactobacillales; Streptococcaceae.